UAGGGAAUCUUCGGCAAUGGACUAAAGUCUGACCGAGCAACGCCGCGUGAGUGAAGAAGGUUUUCGGAUCGUAAAACUCUGUUGUUAGAGAAGAACAAGGACGUUAGUAACUGAACGUCCCCUGACGGUAUCUAACCAGAAAGCCACGGCUAACUACGUGCCAGCAGCCGCGGUAAUACGUAGGUGGCAAGCGUUGUCCGGAUUUAUUGGGCGUAAAGCGAGCGCAGGCGGUUUCUUAAGUCUGAUGUGAAAGCCCCCGGCUCAACCGGGGAGGGUCAUUGGAAACUGGGAGACUUGAGUGCAGAAGAGGGGAGUGGAAUUCCAUGUGUAGCGGUGAAAUGCGUAGAUAUAUGGAGGAACACCAGUGGCGAAGGCGGAUCUCUGGUCUGUAACUGACGCUGAGGCUCGAAAGCGUGGGGAGCAAACAGG
RNAcentral lists this ribosomal RNA (429 nucleotides) under Gemmatimonadota bacterium. RNAcentral's name for it is "Gemmatimonadetes bacterium partial 16S ribosomal RNA". It matches the Rfam family "Bacterial small subunit ribosomal RNA", at positions 355 to 776 of the family's 1533-position model. The record is from RNAcentral. Lineage: Bacteria; Pseudomonadati; Gemmatimonadota.